This 508-nucleotide long non-coding RNA is filed under the name Hordeum vulgare. Its description in RNAcentral is "long non-coding RNA (HVUL_LNC008884)". The record is from RNAcentral. Lineage: Eukaryota; Viridiplantae; Streptophyta; Magnoliopsida; Poales; Poaceae.
GGGGUUUGGCGUGGUAUGGCUUGGCUUUAGGGGCUGGCAAAAGUGCAAGGGCAGGGAUGCGGCGGCUCGGGCACGCUGCAUGCAAAACGGUCGCUCUGGGCGCACUCAGAGUGCACCCACAAGUUGUUCGACAAAAUGACAACACACUCAAAAGAGUUCUGAAGCUUAUGCAAACACAGAGAAGUAGGCUAGAGACUAAGGCAAAGCUACUAGACAAGAAUCUAGGGUCAGGGGAGAAACUCAACAUUGCAGACACAAAUCCAUGCCAAAUCAGUACAGGAACUCAAGGUGUUCAACAGAAUGUCAAGGGCACCUAGGGAGCUCCUUUGGCCACCAAAAUUACCAUAUUAGGGUCUCCUUAGGUGUUAGUCAUGAUGGUCAAGUUAGUUUGGCAAAAGGUUAAACUUGUUAAUGCAAAGUUUUGAGAAAAUCAAUUCUGGCCAACAGGUUUAGACUAUUAUUACAUGCAUUUAAAAUCAUCCAAUGGUGCUCAACUUUUGUACUAAAG